UUGCCAGACUCCUACGGGAGGCAGCAGUGAGGAAUAUUGGUCAAUGGCCGAGAGGCUGAACCAGCCAAGUCGCGUGAGGGAUGACGGCCCUACGGGUUGUAAACCUCUUUUGCCGGGGAGCAAAGAGCGGGACGCGUCCCGCCUCGAGAGUACCCGGAGAAAAAGUAUCGGCUAACUCCGUGCCAGCAGCCGCGGUAAUACGGAGGAUGCGAGCGUUAUCCGGAUUUAUUGGGUUUAAAGGGUGCGCAGGCGGAAGCGCAAGUCAGCGGUCAAAUUGCGGGGCUCAACCCCGUACUGCCGUUGAAACUGCAUCCCUUGAGUGCGCGAGAAGUAUGCGGAAUGCGUGGUGUAGCGGUGAAAUGCAUAGAUAUCACGAAGAACCCCGAUUGCGAAGGCAGCUUACUAAACUGUGACUGACAUUGAUGCUCGAAAGUGUGGGUAUCAAACAGGAUUAGAUACCCCCGUA
RNAcentral lists this ribosomal RNA (466 nucleotides) under uncultured bacterium. RNAcentral describes it as "bacterial SSU rRNA". It matches the Rfam family "Bacterial small subunit ribosomal RNA", at positions 328 to 792 of the family's 1533-position model. The record is from RNAcentral.